RNAcentral lists this long non-coding RNA (231 nucleotides) under Capsella rubella. RNAcentral's name for it is "long non-coding RNA (CRUB_LNC000915)". The record is from RNAcentral. Lineage: Eukaryota; Viridiplantae; Streptophyta; Magnoliopsida; Brassicales; Brassicaceae.
CAUAUCCUCUAAGGUGAGCAAAAUGUUAAGCAUAUUCUUCUUGAAGCCACCGCAAAAUUAGAAGUCUUCCUCUCUGCACUUGUCCUUUAGAACUUAGUAUGUUCCAUUGUUCUUUAAUGUGCCUGUGAAUAUCAAGAGGCAUGUACUUAGGUUGCAUCCUUAGUUUAUUCAUGAAAAGCCUUCCAAUCACAAGACUCUUCAACAACUUGCAUUUCCCAUUGGGAGUUCAUC